GUGCAGCAGUCAAGAAUUUUUCACAAUGGGGGCAACCCUGAUGGAGCGACGCCGCGUGGAGGAUGAAGGCUUUCGGGUUGUAAACUCCUGUCAUUUGAGAACAAGUGUAGCCAACUAACUAUUGGCUACUUGAUAGUAUCAGAAGAGGAAGGGACGGCUAACUCUGUGCCAGCAGCCGCGGUAAUACAGAGGUCCCAAGCGUUGUUCGGAUUCAUUGGGCGUAAAGGGUGCGUAGGUGGCGCCGUAAGUGGGGUGUGAAAUUUCGGAGCUUAACUCCGAAACUGCAUUCCAUACUGCGGUGCUUGAGGACUGGAGAGGAGACUGGAAUUCAUGGUGUAGCAGUGAAAUGCGUAGAGAUCAUGAGGAAGACCAGUGGCGAAGGCGGGUCUCUGGACAGUUCCUGACACUGAGGCACGAAGGCUAGGGGAGCGAACGGGAUUAGAUACCCGCGUAGU
This 455-nucleotide ribosomal RNA is filed under the name uncultured organism. Its description in RNAcentral is "bacterial SSU rRNA". It matches the Rfam family "Bacterial small subunit ribosomal RNA", at positions 346 to 794 of the family's 1533-position model. The record is from RNAcentral.